UGGCAUUCUUCUCCUUUUGUAGUGCAACGCCAGAUUGAUAGUUCCGGAAUCACGGCGGUGCUUUCUGGAGGUCUUGCCAGAGUGUUGGCUACCUUUGGAAUAGACUGAACGAGGCUCACACGAGGUCUUUGCCAAAGACAGAAAGGCAUCCAUCGACUGGCCCUCAGCCCUGCCGUCCAGCUUUAGAUUUAAAUGCACAUUGACAGGAGACUUGCGGAAACCAUUGAGCAGGCAGUGGAUGGCAUCCACAGCAGCUCAGCUGACAUGUUCUGAGCACCUACCUUCUGCAGCCAUGGCCAUCAAUUGGUUUGUAAGUCUGUAAAGGACCG
Molecule: long non-coding RNA, 329 nt
Filed under: Drosophila guanche
Lineage: Eukaryota; Metazoa; Arthropoda; Insecta; Diptera; Drosophilidae
Source: RNAcentral